This 497-nucleotide ribosomal RNA is filed under the name uncultured bacterium. RNAcentral's name for it is "partial 16S ribosomal RNA". It matches the Rfam family "Bacterial small subunit ribosomal RNA", at positions 28 to 507 of the family's 1533-position model. The record is from RNAcentral.
GACGAACGCUGGCGGCGUGCCUAAUACAUGCAAGUCGAGCGGACAGACGGGAGCUUGCUCCCUGCUGUUAGCGGCGGACGGGUGAGUAACACGUGGGUAACCUGCCUGUAAGACUGGGAUAACUCCGGGAAACCGGGGCUAAUACCGGAUGGUUGUCUGAACCGCAUGGUUCAGACAUAAAAGGUGGCUUCGGCUACCACUUACAGAUGGACCCGCGGCGCAUUAGCUAGUUGGUGAGGUAACGGCUCACCAAGGCAACGAUGCGUAGCCGACCUGAGAGGGUGAUCGGCCACACUGGGACUGAGACACGGCCCAGACUCCUACGGGAGGCAGCAGUAGGGAAUCUUCCGCAAUGGACGAAAGUCUGACGGAGCAACGCCGCGUGAGUGAUGAAGGUUUUCGGAUCGUAAAGCUCUGUUGUUAGGGAAGAACAAGUGCCGUUCAAAUAGGGCGGCACCUUGACGGUACCUAACCAGAAAGCCACGGCUAACUACGUG